This 253-nucleotide ribosomal RNA is filed under the name uncultured bacterium. RNAcentral's name for it is "partial 16S ribosomal RNA". It matches the Rfam family "Bacterial small subunit ribosomal RNA", at positions 524 to 776 of the family's 1533-position model. The record is from RNAcentral.
UACGUAGGGUGCAAGCGUUAAUCGGAAUUACUGGGCGUAAAGCGUGCGCAGGCGGUUGCGCAAGACAGAUGUGAAAUCCCCGGGCUUAACCUGGGAACUGCAUUUGUGACUGCACGGCUAGAGUGUGUCAGAGGGGGGUAGAAUUCCGCGUGUAGCAGUGAAAUGCGUAGAGAUGCGGAGGAACACCGAUGGCGAAGGCAGCCCCCUGGGCUAGCACUGACGCUCAGGCACGAAAGCGUGGGGAGCAAACAGG